UGGGGAAUUUUGCACAAUGGGGGAAACCCUGAUGCAGCGACGCCGCGUGAUUUAGAAGGCCUUCUGGUUGUAAAAAUCUUUUCUAUGGGAAGAAAAUGACAGUACCACAGGAAUAAGGACCGGCUAAUUACGUGCCAGCAGCCGCGGUAAUACGUAAGGUCCGAGCGUUGUCCGGAAACAUUGGGCGUAAAGGGUACGUAGGCGGGUAAGCAAGUUAGAAGUGAAAUCCUAUAGGCCAACUAUAGUAAGCUUUUAAAACUGCUGAGCUUUAGGUAUGGAAGAGAAAGUGGAAUUCCUAGUGUAGCGGAGAAAUGCGGAGAUCUUAGAAGGAAUACCGGUGGCGAAGGCGACUUUCUGGCCAUAACCUGAUGAUGAGGAACGAAAGAGUGGGUAGCAAACAGG
Molecule: ribosomal RNA, 402 nt
Filed under: bacterium
Lineage: Bacteria
Description: partial 16S ribosomal RNA
Rfam family: Bacterial small subunit ribosomal RNA
Source: RNAcentral